GCCGGGGUGGCGGAAUCGGCAGACGCAGCGGACUUAAAAUCCGUCGGCCGCGAGGCUAUGUGGGUUCGAGUCCCACCCCCGGUACCA
RNAcentral lists this transfer RNA (87 nucleotides) under Dehalococcoidia bacterium. RNAcentral's name for it is "tRNA-Leu". It matches the Rfam family "tRNA". Rfam says of the family: Transfer RNA (tRNA) molecules are approximately 80 nucleotides in length. Their secondary structure includes four short double-helical elements and three loops (D, anti-codon, and T loops). Lineage: Bacteria; Bacillati; Chloroflexota; Dehalococcoidia. The record is from RNAcentral.